GAUGAACGCUAGCGAUAGGCUUAACACAUGCAAGUCGAGGGGCAGCAUGGUCUUAGCUUGCUAAGACUGAUGGCGACCGGCGCACGGGUGCGUAACGCGUAUGCAACUUGCCUCACAGAGGGGGAUAACCCGUCGAAAGACGGACUAAUACCGCGUACACUCUAUUUUGGGCAUCCAAGGUAGAGGAAAUGAACUUCGCUGUGAGAUAGGCAUGCGUCCCAUUAGCUAGUUGGUGAGGUAACGGCUCACCAAGGCGACGAUGGGUAGGGGAACUGAGAGGUUGAACCCCCACACUGGUACUGAGACACGGACCAGACUCCUACGGGAGGCAGCAGUGAGGAAUAUUGGUCAAUGGGCGAGAGCCUGAACCAGCCAAGUCGCGUGAAGGAUGACUGUCUUAUGGAUUGUAAACUUCUUUUGUAGGGGAAUAAAGAGGGGCACGUGUGCCCCAGUGAAUGUACCCUACGAAUAAGCAUCGGCUAACUCCGUG
Molecule: ribosomal RNA, 490 nt
Filed under: uncultured bacterium
Lineage: Bacteria
Description: partial 16S ribosomal RNA
Rfam family: Bacterial small subunit ribosomal RNA
Source: RNAcentral